RNAcentral lists this ribosomal RNA (506 nucleotides) under uncultured archaeon. RNAcentral describes it as "bacterial SSU rRNA". It matches the Rfam family "Archaeal small subunit ribosomal RNA", at positions 325 to 833 of the family's 1478-position model. The record is from RNAcentral.
ACGGGUGCAGCAGGCGCGAAAUCUUCACAAUGUGCGAAAGCACGAUGAGGGGAUCCCAAGUGCUGGCACGUAAGUGUCAGCUGUUUCUUUGUCUAAAAAACAAAGAGAGUAAGAGCUGGGUAAGACGGGUGCCAGCCGCCGCGGUAAUACCUGCAGCUCAAGUGGUGGCCGCUAUUAUUGGGCCUAAAACGUCCGUAGCCGGUUUAGUAAAUGCUUGGGUAAAUUGUGUAGCUUAACUAUACGAAUACCGGGUAGACUGCUAAACUUGGGACCGGGAGAGGCUAGAGGUACUCCUAGGGUAGAGGUGAAAUUCUGUAAUCCUAGGGGGACCACCAGUGGCGAAGGCGUCUAGCUAGAACGGGUCUGACGGUGAGGGACGAAGCCCUGGGGCGCAAACCGGAUUAGAUACCCGGGUAGUCCAGGGUGUAAACGCUGCUUGCUUGAUGUUAGUUGGGCUCCGAGCCCAACUAGUGUCGGAGAGAAGUUGUUAAGCAAGCUGCCUGGAA